This 72-nucleotide transfer RNA is filed under the name Phytophthora infestans T30-4. It matches the Rfam family "tRNA". From Rfam's summary of the family: Transfer RNA (tRNA) molecules are approximately 80 nucleotides in length. Their secondary structure includes four short double-helical elements and three loops (D, anti-codon, and T loops). Further hydrogen bonds mediate the characteristic L-shaped molecular structure. tRNAs have two regions of fundamental functional importance: the anti-codon, which is responsible for specific mRNA codon recognition, and the 3' end, to which the tRNAs corresponding amino acid is attached (by aminoacyl-tRNA synthetases). tRNAs cope with the degeneracy of the genetic code in two manners: having more than one tRNA (with a specific anti-codon) for a particular amino acid; and 'wobble' base-pairing, i.e. permitting non-standard base-pairing at the 3rd anti-codon position. Lineage: Eukaryota; Oomycota; Peronosporomycetes; Peronosporales; Peronosporaceae. The record is from Rfam by way of RNAcentral.
GCCCUCGUGGUCUAGUGGUAUGAUUCUCGCUUCGGGUGCGAGAGGUCCCGGGUUCUAUUCCCGGCGAGGCCC